This 1512-nucleotide ribosomal RNA is filed under the name Lactiplantibacillus pentosus. Its description in RNAcentral is "bacterial SSU rRNA". It matches the Rfam family "Bacterial small subunit ribosomal RNA". The record is from RNAcentral. Lineage: Bacteria; Bacillati; Bacillota; Bacilli; Lactobacillales; Lactobacillaceae.
GACGAACGCUGGCGGCGUGCCUAAUACAUGCAAGUCGAACGAACUCUGGUAUUGAUUGGUGCUUGCAUCAUGAUUUACAUUUGAGUGAGUGGCGAACUGGUGAGUAACACGUGGGAAACCUGCCCAGAAGCGGGGGAUAACACCUGGAAACAGAUGCUAAUACCACAUAACAACUUGGACCGCAUGGUCCGAGUUUGAAAGAUGGCUUCGGCUAUCACUUUUGGAUGGUCCCGCGGCGUAUUAGCUAGAUGGUGAGGUAACGGCUCACCAUGGCAAUGAUACGUAGCCGACCUGAGAGGGUAACCGGCCACAUUGGGACUGAGACACGGCCCAAACUCCUACGGGAGGCAGCAGUAGGGAAUCUUCCACAAUGGACGAAAGUCUGAUGGAGCAACGCCGCGUGAGUGAAGAAGGGUUUCGGCUCGUAAAACUCUGUUGUUAAAGAAGAACAUAUCUGAGAGUAACUGUUCAGGUAUUGACGGUAUUUAACCAGAAAGCCACGGCUAACUACGUGCCAGCAGCCGCGGUAAUACGUAGGUGGCAAGCGUUGUCCGGAUUUAUUGGGCGUAAAGCGAGCGCAGGCGGUUUUUUAAGUCUGAUGUGAAAGCCUUCGGCUCAACCGAAGAAGUGCAUCGGAAACUGGGAAACUUGAGUGCAGAAGAGGACAGUGGAACUCCAUGUGUAGCGGUGAAAUGCGUAGAUAUAUGGAAGAACACCAGUGGCGAAGGCGGCUGUCUGGUCUGUAACUGACGCUGAGGCUCGAAAGUAUGGGUAGCAAACAGGAUUAGAUACCCUGGUAGUCCAUACCGUAAACGAUGAAUGCUAAGUGUUGGAGGGUUUCCGCCCUUCAGUGCUGCAGCUAACGCAUUAAGCAUUCCGCCUGGGGAGUACGGCCGCAAGGCUGAAACUCAAAGGAAUUGACGGGGGCCCGCACAAGCGGUGGAGCAUGUGGUUUAAUUCGAAGCUACGCGAAGAACCUUACCAGGUCUUGACAUACUAUGCAAAUCUAAGAGAUUAGACGUUCCCUUCGGGGACAUGGAUACAGGUGGUGCAUGGUUGUCGUCAGCUCGUGUCGUGAGAUGUUGGGUUAAGUCCCGCAACGAGCGCAACCCUUAUUAUCAGUUGCCAGCAUUAAGUUGGGCACUCUGGUGAGACUGCCGGUGACAAACCGGAGGAAGGUGGGGAUGACGUCAAAUCAUCAUGCCCCUUAUGACCUGGGCUACACACGUGCUACAAUGGAUGGUACAACGAGUUGCGAACUCGCGAGAGUAAGCUAAUCUCUUAAAGCCAUUCUCAGUUCGGAUUGUAGGCUGCAACUCGCCUACAUGAAGUCGGAAUCGCUAGUAAUCGCGGAUCAGCAUGCCGCGGUGAAUACGUUCCCGGGCCUUGUACACACCGCCCGUCACACCAUGAGAGUUUGUAACACCCAAAGUCGGUGGGGUAACCUUUUAGGAACCAGCCGCCUAAGGUGGGACAGAUGAUUAGGGUGAAGUCGUAACAAGGUAGCCGUAG